CCCCCCCACCCUCGCCCCGAAAGGGUUGCGGGYAGAGCGGGGGGGCGGAAGUUGGCUUCCCGUGCUCCGCGCGGCCAGCCUAAAAAACGGUUCCCUCGYCGCGGACGUCGCGACAAGUGGUGGUCGUCGAGAUUGAACGCGAGUCGUCGGCAAGCCGCGUCGAGGAGAGCGCUUGGACCCUGUGCAUGCGAGUCCCUCGUCGAGGGACGAUCGGCACGACCAGCGACCCCAGGUCGAGGGACAAUCGGCACGACCAGCGACCCCAGGUCAGGCGGGGCUACCCGCUGAGUU
RNAcentral lists this unclassified non-coding RNA (291 nucleotides) under Hoya coronaria. RNAcentral describes it as "sequence contains 18S rRNA gene, ITS1, 5.8S rRNA gene, ITS2 and 28S rRNA gene". Lineage: Eukaryota; Viridiplantae; Streptophyta; Magnoliopsida; Gentianales; Apocynaceae. The record is from RNAcentral.